Molecule: long non-coding RNA, 316 nt
Organism: Ctenocephalides felis (cat flea)
Lineage: Eukaryota; Metazoa; Arthropoda; Insecta; Siphonaptera; Pulicidae
Exons: 3
Source: RefSeq, a predicted model, not a curated record
UUGGUGUAGUGGUCGUCGUCACAUCACUGGUCGCCACAUCUUGAUUCUUGGGAUUGCUGACUAUCGGAAGUAGAAGGAAGAUAGUCAACUGGAAGGGGAUGAUGGCGCCCUUGUCGCACGGCCCUACUCCGUCCUGCCGCAGGAGUGAGGCCGAAAUCAGUCUAGCCCUUCGCUUCGUUGUGAGCGGUCGCCGGUCGGGAGCCUAUAGCUCAUUCAACAAAUUGGUCCCAGCAGAUCGUGUCACCAUAAAUCAAAUCUAAUGUGCAAUAUUUUACUUGCAUACAUGUGUAGAAACAGAAAUGCACAUACACAGGCC